RNAcentral lists this small RNA (967 nucleotides) under Histoplasma capsulatum. RNAcentral describes it as "hypothetical RNA". The record is from RNAcentral. RNAcentral also lists the same sequence under 1 other name. Lineage: Eukaryota; Fungi; Ascomycota; Eurotiomycetes; Onygenales; Ajellomycetaceae.
ACAGGCGAGUGCUGAGGGAAUAAUAAGGUGCCAACCGCGGAUGCAUUUCGUUUAAAUAUUCUCGAAUUGGCUAUUUGGUUCAUUCUAUUUCCCCCCCCUACAUACUAGUACUAGUGAACAGAGCUGAAAAACCGCCAGAGAAGAAUAAAAUGAACUAAACAGGGGCUGAUACAGAGCCAGGUUAGGGUUUUUGCGUUUCUACAAAAAUCCUCCAGGUCAUUAUCUCAAAAGGGGCCGUACUCGCAGCGGGCCGUCGACGGAAGUGAUGCAAUAUGCUAUGGAGUUGCCUGAAUCAGAUUGUGUAUCCGAUUGCACUCCAACCACUCCUUGUUCUAUCUCUUUAUUUCCCCUCCCUCAUUGUUUUUGUCCCUGAGAGCGACCAAGGGGGGAAAUAAAAGCAACAUCGGCUGCGUCUUUGUACGUUCCUCAAAGCGCCACCCAUGUACAGAGUACAGUACAUCCACUUCAUGCACGCCUGUGAAACACUGAAGGAGGAGAUUUUCAAUACCCGUGGGCACGAGGCAAACGCAUUGAGACGAUGAUCAUCCCCACUUAUCUUCAUUGCUUCUCUGUGGGAUCAACGAUUACCAGCCGUGUCGGGAGUUUGAGCACCCCCGGGGAUGGCAAAAAAAAACAUGUACCCAUUUAAGGUCGAGCGGGAGGCUGCCUUCUCGUUGCGAAGCAUCAUUCUCCAUCAGUGGCAGGAUAAAAUAUUUAGUCGAUGCUUUGGGCCCCUAUUCCGCUACCUGGAUAAUUAGAUGCGCUUCAUCAUUGCCGAAAGUGGCCUGUAUUUAUCACAUCUACGGGUACAAGGCAAGCUUGGAGAUGAUUCCCUUUUAAGUCAUCAAGUAAACGGAGGCCUGAAAAGGGAUGAGACUGGCCGAUUAAUUUUGUCUCGGUUCCUGUCUCGUGCUUGGAUUGAACUCUGCGCUAGGAAAAAUAUGUCGGUAGCCGGAUCCAGCAUCAC